CCUACGGGAGGCAGCAGUGAGGAAUAUUGGUCAAUGGGCGGAAGCCUGAACCAGCCAAGUAGCGUGCAGGAUGACGGCCCUACGGGUUGUAAACUGCUUUUAUACGGGAAUAACGCGCCUUACGUGUAGGGCUUUGCAUGUACCGUAUGAAUAAGGACCGGCUAAUUCCGUGCCAGCAGCCGCGGUAAUACGGAGGGUCCGGGCGUUAUCCGGAUUUAUUGGGUUUAAAGGGAGCGUAGGCCGCAUGUCAAGCGUGCUGUGAAAUGUCCGGGCUCAACCCGGGCCUGGCAGCGGGAACUGGCGGGCGUGAGACGGCGGAAGGUAGGCGGAAUUCGUCGUGUAGCGGUGAAAUGCUUAGAUAUGGCGAAGAACCCCGAGUGCGAAGGCAGCUUGCUGCAGGGGAACUGACGCUGAUGCUCGAAAGCGCGGGUAUCGAACAGGAUUAGAUACCCGGGUAGUC
Molecule: ribosomal RNA, 460 nt
Filed under: uncultured bacterium
Lineage: Bacteria
Description: partial 16S ribosomal RNA
Rfam family: Bacterial small subunit ribosomal RNA
Source: RNAcentral